RNAcentral lists this long non-coding RNA (8805 nucleotides) under Homo sapiens (human). RNAcentral's name for it is "HSALNT0032693". The record is from RNAcentral. Lineage: Eukaryota; Metazoa; Chordata; Mammalia; Primates; Hominidae.
UUUUGAGACAGAGUCUCGCUCUGUCACCCAGGAUGGAGUGCAGUGGCAUGAUCUCAGCUUACUGCAACAUCCGCCUCCUGGGUUCAAGUGAUUCUCCUGCCUCAGCUUCCUGAGUAGCUGGGAUUACAGGCACACACCACCAGGCCCGGCUAAGUUUUGCAUUUUUAGUAGAGACAGGGUCUCACCAUGUUGGCCAGGCUGGUCUUGAACUCCUGGCCUCAGAUGAUCAGAACACUAAUAUUUACUGAAGACAAUGGAUACUUACCAAGGAUUCACUAAGUGGUCUUCAAAGCAUUUUAUAUGUAUAAACUCUUUUAAUCUUCACAUUAAGAUUAUGUAGUGGGUACUCUUAUUAUCUUCAAAUUAAAGAUGAGGAAACAAGUUUAGAGAAGUUAAAAAUACUGGUUGAAGUCCUACUGUUAGCAACGGUAGAGUCGCAAUUUAGAUAGUGGCUGUCUGAUUCUAGAGCUCACACACUUAACGUCUGUGCCAUGUAUAUAAUUACUAUAGAUUGCUUAGGUAAUCAGCCACCUGUCUGGGAAGCUCAGCUCUCCGAAAAUUUCUCAGUGAUAUCACAUUAUAUGCAUAUAACCAGGUGGCUCUGGCUGAGAAUAGAUAUAGAGUUUGUAAACAGUUUUAAACAAGGGUAGGGAAGAGAUUAAUACAUCGUACCUACAUCCUAUUCUUUGUCCUUCCCUGGAUACAUGGGAAGCCUACACUUCCUAGCUCUCUUGCAGUUAGGCAAGGCCACGUGACUAGCUGUAGCCAAUAAAAUGUGAGCAGAAAUGACUUGCAUCACUUCCCACAUAAAACAUGUAAGGGUCAGUGUGGCCCCUCCAUGUUCUCUCUUUCUCUUUAAGGUGACCAUGAAGUCCACAAGUUGAAAUGUCAGAGCCACAGUUUAGAAAUAACCCAGACCUGGAGUCGCUGACUGCAUGAAGGACAGAUUCCCGGAAGAAUCACUCCAUCCCUGUUGGAUUUUGUGUGAACAAGAAACAAAUCUGUUAAAUUAAGCCACUAAACUGCUGGGGUUUACUUAUGACCAUAACCUAGCCUGCCCUAUGUAGGCUACAGCGGCUUAAAUGCCUGCAGGGGUCUGACCAGCAGUUGAAAUGAAAUGAAUGAAGUAGCUGGGCAUGAGUGUAAGAGAAAAUACCCAGGCUGGAAGGGUGACUAUGUUACAUGGGAGAUGCAUGUCCCAUUAGGGGAGAAGAGCUGCUACUCAGAGCUAGUUCAUGAUUUUACGAAAUGAUUUGGAGCCAGCAUUGCAAGAUCUUAACUGGAGAUUUUUUUUUUUUCAAGAAAAUCUGGAAAUACAGAUUUUGAUGUGAAAUUCCCAAUUUUUAAAUGUUGGUAGCUAAUAUAGAUUAACAAAACAAAACAAAAAGAAAAGAAAAACAGACAUCCUUGCUAUUUCCCAAACAUCAUAGGCAUUGUUUCUGCCUCUUGCUGUGCCUCCUGCCUGGAAUACUCUUCCCCUCUAUGCCCACAAGCCUUACUUCUUCUUCUGCUCAGGUGUUUUCCCAAAUGUCACCUUCUCAGGGAGGCCUUUCCUAAUUACUCUUUUAAAAAUUGCAACACCUCCUUCUUUCCACCUUGUACUCUCUCUCCUUCCCUGCUUUUCAAUUUUUCUCUAUACUACUUAUCAUCCUGUAGAAUAAUAGAAUUUUAAAAAUUAUUGGCUGACUGCCCAUAUCCUCCCAUUAUACUCAAAGUAUAUAAGGGUGAGGAUUUUUCCCUGUUUUGUUCACUGUUUUUGCCAAGUGCCUACAGAGGGACCUGGCACACAGUAAGUGCUCAACAAGUAUUUGUUAAGUAAAUGAAUUUUUAAAACAUCCCACCCUGGGGGUCAGAAAAAGCGCAUCUGGAAUGUUGAUUCGAUGUGUGGACCAUUACUUCACAACUCGGGUUUCAGUCCCUCACUGAGCAGCCCUUGGAAAUUAGUGCCAUUUAGAGUGGCAAGCAGUUUCCUGCCUCCCAUGAAGUUGAUGUUUGAUUGAUUUUGCUCUGGGAAAUGGAUCACAGUGGGCUUUAAGAAAACUCUUGUAAAUUCUAGGGGGCCUCAUGCCUGCCUGUGUGCUCACAGAAUACUGUGACAGCAGUCUACUAUUGAUUUUGUCUCUACUGUACAUCCUAGAUUUGUUCAUACCCAAAUUUUUGUCUCAGUCCUGCCCUGUGAACCAGUCCUGGUCUUUAGAACAUGAGCCAAAAUGCAUUCCCCUUUGCUCAUUAAGUUGGUUUGAAUUGAGUUUCUGUCACUGUGGAUGGAGUUCUGAUCAGUAGAAUGUGACUCCCGACUGGCUGUUUUCUGUUUCUGAGUCAUAGUUUCCUCACAUAGAAAAAGGAGGGUGUAAGAUUAAAUAAGCACGAAAGUCUUUUCCGGGAUUCUAACAUUUUGGGAUUCUAACACAUUUAAGCCCCCCAACCCCAUCCCCACCCCUUCAAUGGAGGCUAAACAUUUUUGACUUUAGAUAAACUUGGUUCCCUGGAGCCACGUGGUACUCUCUGGCCUUGGUAUCACCAACCCCUCUGACUUAUGAUGUCUACUGCUCCUACCUCCUUUGGGGGUUGACUGCUCUUGCUAUAUGUUCGGGCCCUGCUCUUAUUGCCAGAGCUGCUUGUAUUUUACUUGUAGCAACUUCAGAUAUAGCCUCCAAUAUAUUUUUCUUCUCUCUGACCUCAACUCCUUUUUGCCUUUCAUUUGUCUCCCCGCACCCCCGCCCUUGGUCCCUGCCUUGCUAAAGUCAUAUCAAUCUGCAGCAUCAAGACAUUUUUAGGUCUUUCAGUCUAGGACCCUCUCAUGUCUUCCUUUCUCAGACUUUUCCCAUUUUUCUCGGGCAUGAGUAAGAAUCUUACUUUAUCAGCUCAAGUCAGAAAGCAACAUUACCUUAUUUUCUUUAAAUCAGAAUAGAAUCUGACUUCAGUCUCCUGUUGGUAGGCCUGGAGGGAAAUGUAAUUUCAGUCACUGUUAGGGAUUCCUCCCCUUACCCCUGAGUCAAACAAAGGUCCUGGGGACUUCAUCUAAAACCAAUCAUUUGGAGGAGUCCCUCCAGCUCAGGGCAUGCUGAUUACUGUGGACGUGCUCAUUUUUCUAGCCCACAUGGUAGCUGCUGGGCCCUACUUGGCCAUGAAAAUAAUGACAACGAUUAACGUUUAUGGAAUGUUACUAACGUGCCAGGGACUUGGUAGUGCUUUACAUAAAUAGUUUUAUAUGAGGCAACUACUCUUUGAUCUAGAACAUUCUUUUCCCAGAUAACUUAUGGUUCUCCCUCAUCUUCCUCAAGGCUUUGCCUAGAUAUUACCUUCUCAAUGAGCAUAUCCUGACCACCAGUAUCUGUGCCCCUCCCUUUCUAAUUCUGCUUUUCCCAGCUCUACUUUGUUUCCAUAACCCUUAUCAUCGUCCAGCAUACCAUGCUGUGUGAUUUACCUACUAAUAGAGUCUUUCAUCUGCCCCCCUCCCCCCACCACUAGAAUGUAAGUUCUGUAAGGGUAGGACCUCCAGUUUUUUAAUUCUUUCUUUCAACUCCUAGAAUAGUACCCAGUAUAUAGUUCAAUAAUUUUUUUUUUUUUUUGAGACAGAGUCUCACCCUAUUACCCAGGCUGGAGUGCAAUGGCGCAGUCUCGGCUCACUGCAACCUCCGUCUCCUGGGUUCAAGUGAUUCUCCUGCCUCAGGCUCCCGAGUAGCUGGCAUUAGAGGCGCGCACCACUGCGCCUGGCUAAUUUUUUGUAUCUUUAGUAGAGACGGGGUUUCACUAUGUUGGCCAGGCUGGUCUCGAACUCCUGACUUCGUGAUCCGCCUGCCUCAGCCUCCCAAAGUGCUGGGAUUACAGGCAUAAGCCACUGCGCCCAGCCCUAAACAUUUGUAGAAUAAUAGUCCUAGUUUUACAGAUGAGGAAACAGGCAAUAAAGGGAAGUAACUACCCCAUGUCACACAGCCAGCAAGUGGCAGAGUUUGGGUUCAAACUCAGCCCAUCUGAUUUCUUUUUAGGACUGCAUUCUUUCUGUGAACUGGCUAUCCUCACACUUAGACCUGGCUGCCCAGGGCACAUCCUAUAGCCACUCCUCCCAGAGGCCCUGCCGUAUCCCUGGGGCACUGGGAGGACACAGAGCAUAGGUCCCAAUCCUCAGUGAACCCAUGAAUCUUCCCCCUCUUUCAGCUCAACCCCCAUUCUUUCCCCAAAUACUCCCCACUUCCAGAAUAUCUAAUAUUAUAUCCUCAAUUAGAUUAAACUCUUAUUUAUACCACGAAAAGAGUUUAUCUUUUAAGAAACCCCUCCUGAGACCAAGAAAUAGAAGGGCUACUUAGAAUGAGGAGGUGGGAUAUCUGGAAAACAAAGCAGAAGUAGCUCGGAGUGUCUCUCUGUGUGUGUGUGAGAGAGAGAGAGAGAGAGAGAGAGUGUGUGAGCAUGUGUGUGAGUAUGUGUGAGAGUGUGUGUGUCAGUGAGUGUGUGUGUGAGUGUGUGUGUGAGAGUGUGUGUGUGAUGAGCACUCCAGGCUCCCUUUCCCAAACCAGCUGAAAGAUCCCCUUUUUCUCUUCUUUAAAACAGUUCUGAAAUCUAGCCAUGCCACCAAUACCUGCAGAAACAUUCUGGAUGGAACAGGCUUGCCCAGACCCUCCUCUCCAGAAGGUAAAUUUCUAACCAGACCUGCUGCCAGAUGAACAAGUCCCCUGGGAAGGAAUCCCUUCUUCAGUCUUCAAGUCAAACUGCUUCUGUGCUAACCAAAGGCUAAGCCUGCCAGGGAGGGGGCAGUGCCACCUGCUUCCAAAGGCGCUGUGACAGCUCUUGUUUAUUGAAGAGGGCUGCCCAUCCCAGUGAAGUAAGAUAACCAGGAAUUUUAUUUCUGAGAGAGAGUAUCCUGGGCCUCCACAUCAAGGAGCAGGAAAGCUCAGCCUUGGCUUCUUGAGCUAUAUCCCAGGGAGCUGUAUCAGCAAAUGGACAGGUGGAACUCUGAUGCCUUCACCAAGAUGGUUGAACAAGAGAACAAGAUAGAGUUCUCAUCAGCUGAACAAAAGAAAUCAUGACAGAGACUAGAAGAUGUAAAGGCCUAGUUUCGGAGACAGAGACAAGUAAUUUCCCUGAAAUGUUAUUUGUGCCAUGUGGGUCACAGCUGAACUGCUGAGGGAAGCAUUUUCAGAACAUCACAGAGGGAAGAGUCAUGGGUCUAAACCUUUUAAAGACUACAUUUUUUAAAGGUCAACUGCUUUUUCCCUGGAGGGGAUCCUUGUAAUAGGUACUAUAGAGAAGGAUAAUUAAUAAUCAUGAUGUUGAGAAAGUGGCCUGAAAAAGAAAAAAAAAAAACUUGGAACCAGCUUCUCAUCGAAGAUGUGCCUCUCUCCCUCCCUGCAUUGCUGUGAUCUAGGGUUGCAGUGAUGCCCAGUUUUCCAGACCCUAGCUCUCACAGUCCGGACCAACUUGCAGCUGCAUUUCAGUAUCAAUCCAAUUUACAGAGCUGGAAUUACGUUGUAGCGGGGCCCACUAACAUGAACAUACAUUGUAAAUUCUUUUUCCUCCUAUUUGUAUUUUCAAUAUUCUUUGUUAAUUGUGAUAAUCCCUUAUGACAAAUGUGUGAUGUAUUUGCGUACCUCAGAUUGAGCAUAUGUCUGGUAUGAAACAAGUUGCCCCACAAAAAAUUGGGGAGAGGCCGGGCAUGGUGGCUCAUGCUUGUAAUCCCAGCACUUUGGGAGGCUGAGGCAGGUGGAUCACUGAGUCCGGGAGACCAGCCUGGGCAACGUGGCAAGACCCCAUCUCUACAAAAAAAUGCAAUACUUAGCUGGGCAUGGUUAGGCACACCUGUGAUCCCAGAUACUCAGGAGGCUGAGGUGGGAGGAUCAUUUGAGCCCAGGAGGUCAAGUUUGCAGUGAGCUGUGAUUGUGCCACUGCAUUCCAGCCUGGCAACAGAAUGAAACCCUGUCUCAAAACAACACAACCACACACACACACACACACACACAAAAUUGGGGUAAGAACAAAAAAUUGGGGGAAGAAAUUGGACAUAUGAGUUUUGAAGGCAUAACAUCUGCCUUCUCAUUGCUGAGACAAGUCAUCUAUUUUUAACUUCCAUUUUCACGUUAAGGAUUUCUCCCAGGCUAUCCUUCAAUCUCUACCAUCUCUGAAUUCCAAAGUUUUCUGUCCUUGCUCCUUGGGGUGUUCCGCAGCCUCCUGUCAGACUCUCCAAGGCUCCUUGUCUGCUGGGACUGUGCAUGCCCCACCGAGGCCACAUCCUACCAAUAUUGCAGCUUGGCUCCAGAAUGGAUUAGAUAAUUUUUGCUAAGCUCCUGCAGCUAGGUGUGUUUUUGUGAGGCUCACCCUAUUCUCAGAGUUGUGAAUCAUGACAGCUGACCCUUACUGAGCACGCAUAUAUGCUAGGCACGUGCUAUGCUUUUUAUGUGCAUCAUCUUGGUUAAUCCUAAUAAGAAGCUCAUCCUUCUCAUCAGCUCUGCUUUACAGAUGGGACACUAAGGAACAGAGAGGUUAAAUGACAUGCACACAGUUACAAAUCUAGUGGUAGUGCUGGAAUUUGAACCCAGUCAACCUGACUCCAGAAUCUGUGUUCUUGAUCAUGAUGCUAUUGAUGGGUUCCAGCUUUUAGCCCAUUUCCUGCAGGGUCCUUUGAGUUGCAGUUAAUUGGGUCAGGUGCAGCUGUACCAUGAGAUAAGAUAGGUGUUCAAUAAAUUCCACCCUAGAAUCAUUUGUUGAACAUUUACUGGGUACAAGACACUGUGCUCACUUGUAAACCUGGGGUGUGGGUUUUGGUGUGGAGAUGAAACAUGCUAUUUAGUCACUGAAAUGAUCAAGAAGGAAAUCCUUUUGUUUGUAAGAAUAGUAGAUCUGACCUGAGACAAAAUUGUGAUCUUUCUGUGUCUCAUUGUCUGGCCUUUCUCAAACCCUGACCCUGUCCUUUCUUCAACUUAGGAAGCCUCUUCUGCUUUUCCACCCAGGAUCUUCUCUCCAUGUUUCUGAACCCAGCGCUGCACUCAGAAACAGGGCAGGUGCCUCUCCGUGCAUCUGAAGGCUUUACCUUCAGACCGUCCAGGUGUGCAUACUUCAAUGUUUAUUUAGUUGCCUGCCUCUGGGGAGCAUCCCAGCCUCACUGAGCUUAUACCUUGGGACACCUUGGAAGGUGAAGGCAGCCGAGUCCUUAUCGUAGAGUAAAAUAAGACAAGAACUCUAAAGUGAGGAAAGGCCCCAAACUAAGCAACAAAAGGUGUUGUUUUCUUGAAAAUGAUGACGGAAAUAUUACAAAUAUUGAUUGGUUGCAGAGGUAAUACAUUUGUCAAAGCUCAUCAAAUUGUGCUAAGGAAUACCUUUGCAUUUGUCUGUGUAUAAAUUUUACCUAAAUAAAAGCUUUUUUUUCCUAAGAAAUAAAAAUGCCAUAGUGCUAAAAGGACACUAGUAAGCAGAGAGCCGUUUCCAAGUACAUCAUCUAAGAGCCAUUUGUUCAACAAAUAUUUAUUGAGCACCUGAUAAGUACCAGGGACUGUCCUAGAAUCCAUCAGCAAUGAGACAAAGGUCCCUGUCUCCAUGGAGCUUACAUGCUAGCAGGGCCCUUGAAAGUGGCAGGCAGAGGCGGGCGCUUUGGCUGAUUGUUUGCCCUGAUUGCUGAUCUCAAGAGGAGCAACUGGAAGCUCUAGUCUCAGAGGGGCUCAGUGAUUCAUGGAAAAGGGAGUUUCCUGAAUGUCAGGUCUAGGGUUAGGCUGCAGCCCAUGCUGAGGUCUGAAGGGAGUGGGUGGAUGAAUGGCAGAUAGCUGAAAGAACACUUAAGGAGCUGUAGGUAGGUGAGAUACAGCUUUAUUCAGCAGCUCUCUCAUCAGCAGCUCUCUUACACGGUCUGCUCUGUCUCAGCUGCUUGAUCUGGCUGCUCCCAUGCACAGCUGCGCUGCUGGCUUUCCCUUCAGGGUCAGCAGCUUAACUCUUUCUCUGUCUGGGCAUGAGCGGGCCUAUACAGUGUCAGCAGGGCAAUUAUACCUUUUACAGACAAUAGUGGCUUAGAGCCAAAUGAUGAGCCUUCCCAUGCUAUGGCUACAUGGAUGUGAUGACAAGUGGAGUAAUACACCUAUGCUCUAAACUUGCUGAAUCACUCUCGGUGUUUACCUGGGGCUAUCGCUGACCGAAGCAUAGCCAUGUUCCUUACACUGAAAAAGCCUCUGAAUGCCUAGGGGAAAAAAGUCCUUACAUGCUUGGGGGCUAGAGCCGCACUUUCCGGUGAGGCCCAGAAGAGUCUGCAAAUCUUCCAGCCCCAUCCCCAGUGUCUCUUUGUGGCUUGAGAGGGUGGCUCACCCACCGCCUUACCAUAUGAUCCAUGCCCUCUCCCCCCUAGCAAGGCACCUCCACCAGGGGCCCGGCUUCCUUCAGGCACAUGUGCCCACAGGGCAUGGGCUCUGGCAGAGGCCAGCAAACCUGGAGGCUGGAAGCUCAUUUUCUGAGCUCCAGGAAGGGCGGGGAGGUGUGGGUUCUUUUUGAAACCAGACCUAUGUGCUUAGAAACACCACAGAAGGGCUGGGCAGAGCCACUGGGGGUUGGAUGGGGUUGCUGUGAAUCAUAGGAACUCUAGGCUAGAAGAAGCCAUCUGAGAGGGGAGGUAGGUUCUUUUGAAGUCUCAAAAUCUUUAUUUAAAACAGAAUCCAAGAACCUUUGAUCAUGCAGCAAAGUUUAUGACAUUAUAUACGUAAUAAAGGACAAUGAAGCAACAUAUAAUCCUUGUUAAUUAAAAUGGUCUAAAUUACAUGUAAUCUCUGAAUUUACAAAGAUAGCACAAUGUAUGCAAUAAAUCCUAUUUCACAGUCUUUUUUUAGUAACAACAAG